CUAUAAAUAUUGUACCCCCUCCAUUCCAAAUUUUAAGAUCAUUAUUGAUUAGUGAAAAUUCAAUUUGAGAUAAUUUUAAAUUUAAAAGUCAUUUAAAUAUUUUAUACUUUUUAGUUACCAAUCAACCUUUUCAGUUCAAAUGGUAUUUCACUCAAAUAAUCUAAUUUAUUAAGAUAUACUAAUAAUUCAGAUCUUAAUUAUUCAAUUUUAUCACACAAUUGCUCUACUAUUUUUGUCUACUCCAUAGGAAAGCUACACAUCUAGGGCUCCCCAUAUCCGGCUACACAGUCAUAGCAUAGGCCGAUAGGCGUCCUAUGUAAUGCCCCCAAAAUAGGUUCACACAACCCAUUCUGAGUCGCCAAAUACAUGGUACAAAAAUCAAAUACAACUUCAUUUAUACAACUAUUAACUGUCGUGAAAAAAUACGACAAAGCAUAAGCUGUGAGUUUUAAUACAAAUAUUGUCUCGUAGCCAAUAUCUAAACUCAAAUAAAGUCCUCAUUAUAAUUAUUAUCACACUAUUUUAUAAAAUAGUGAGGACUACUAUAACAACCAUGUUGGACCAUCACUCUAUUCCCUGACUAGUCCCAGCUAUAUUCUCAUUUUCUGAAGAAAUUAAUGAAAGAAAAGGGUGAGUUCAACUACCCUAGUAAAGAAUAUUAUGACUAAGAUAAUGCAUAAUACAUUAUCUUUAAUCCUCAAUAGAGAAAAAUCUGAUAGAAUACAAUAGAAAACAAAUUUUAGAUCAACAACUGCAGCGAAAAUAACAAUCCAUUAGAAGAGUCAAGUAGAGCAUGAUGUCUACUAUCUUCUAUGAUUUAAAAGUCCACCAUCAAUAUUUUAUCUCUGUAACACCAAUCAAUAGAUAUUUCAAAUCAACAAAUUAUCCAUGCACUACGGGCCAAGGAUAUUCGUUUGUAUCACCAGUGGUCAUGAUCAUGCCAAACACCUGUUCAUCUAUGCACUACGGGCCAAAGAGGACUUUCACCACAACAUUUGUCUGUAACAUUACAGGUCAUGAUUAUACCAAUACAUAAUUCCUAGUCAUAAUCAUACCAAUCAAUAGUCCAUCUUUGUACUACGAGUUAAAGAUGAAUUUCAUCACAAUAUAAGCAUGGGGAUGAUGACAAUGAUAUAAAGAAUCAAUCAAGUGAGAUCAAGGAUAAAUAUUAGAUAUUUAUAAUUCAAUUCAUUCAGAGUUCAAGAAUAUCCAAAUUGUCAACAUGAUAACAAAUUUUCGUACAACUUUUUAUUUUUGCCUAAUGGAUACAAAUAAUCUAGUAAGAGCUUCAGGGGAAAUAAUUUAGCAUGAAAUCAAUCAAUAACACUAUAAGAGUGGGAAACAUAUAACCUAUGAUACAAAUCACUAUGGCAGCGGCUAAAGCUUUCAUGGACUAGUGACUAAACUCUGAACUAAAGAUCAAAUUUGUUGGCAAAAGCAUCCACACAAGUGCCUCAUAGCUCCUAAGUAAAAUUUCAGCCAUUUUAAUUUAGAGUGGACAAAUGUUCUACUUUUUAAUUACUAUCAUAGUGCUUGCAACCAAAACAUAUUAAUGCAACAAUCUUUAGAUUGGAAAACUCAAAAUCUAUAGCACUCAAAGGCAUUACGAAAUUGACAUAGUCCAACACAAACUAACUUAAAAAUCCCACAAACUCAGUCCAAAUUCAAUAAUUCACCAAACAAUGUUUAUUAUCACACAUAUCAGACACCUAGUACAAUAAGAAUGCAUUUAAUUUAAAAGCAUUUCACAAAAAAUAAUUUUUUAAAACAUUUUGAGUGAGAACUUGAUAACACUAACUUUUAUUAACAUAAAAAAUGCAUAACAAACUAACCCUUCUUUAAAGCUCAUCAUCCAUCCUCAAAUACUCCCCAAUAUCAGCGCGGUGAAUGUACCACAAUCUCAUUUGGGGUUCAUUAUCCUAUAGUCCCAUUUGGGUCCAUUUUCCUACAAUCCCAUUUGGGUCCAUUAGAAAAAUAUUUCUUAAUAAAAUUUGUGCCAAUGGGUUAAAAAAAACAUAUUUUGUGCCAAUGGGUAAAAAAACACUGUGAAUUCCCAAAUUUAUACACACAAAAAAAAGGCAAAGACAAGGUCGAAAUUCACCUCCAAAAAAUGCAUAUUCAUUCUUUUACUUCAUCAUCUUCAUCAACAAAUUAUACUAAUAAAGGAUUAACAUUCACAUGCAUUUUCCUAACAAACUUGUUAUCAAGAAAACAAUCUGCAGAAAUCAUGCAUCUUAAUCCUCUAUCUAUAACAAAUGAAAAGCUUUGAUUUUGUUAUUUUUAGAGUCUAAUAUAUAAAUCAAAGCAUUCACGUUCAAAAUUCCCAACUAAACAUGUACUUUUUCAUAUUUAACAACCCACUUUAAUUUACUAUACUUAUUAAAUUUAUUCAUAACAUUAUACAGUAAUUAUAGUUAAUAUAUUAAGUAAUAGGUAUUUUAUUAAUUUAUUCCUAUAUUACAUGAGCUAACUAUCAAAAUGACCAAAACAAAUCCAAAACAUUCAACAAACCACGCCUGGGUAGCCGCUGCAGUGCACUGUAGUAGGCAGCGCACGACUGCUAUUGCAGCUGCCUGCAGCAGCUGUGCAGUUUUGCUCCAGCUUCAUGCUCAAAUUGCCUACUUUACCAUUUUCUAGAUUACAAACCGUAAAUCUGAUCAAGGCAAACUUUUAGGAUGUUGUAAAGAGUUUAUCAAACUAUUUUUAAAAAAUACUAACCAACUAAAUCAAACCUCCUAGACCAGUUUUUUUCAUGGCUUCAAACUAGCCUGCUAGGUACUUUUUUUUAUCCGAGUUACACAUACAAGUUUCUUGAAAACAGACUUUAAACUCAAAUUACCUUUCUCAAUUUACUUGAAUUACUUCAUUAAACAAGUAUAAAGAGUUUCUAUAGAACCAACUUUGCUAAAUCCUUGCAAAUCUACCCGACAGUCUCUAAGGAGCCUUAAAUCAAACGCCUCAUACGCUUUACAUUUAGGAACAUAGUUUAUAUCUAUUUAUAUACAAGUUUAGCCCAAAAUUUACUCCCUUAUUGCUUUGCACAACAACUAUUCUCCUUUUCACUAAAUCUCAAUUACCACAGCAAUAACAUACUCAAUUUUUUCAUAAAAAAGUCAAACUUUGCUUCAAAAAUUAAGAUUUAGAACUUACCUCGCUAUAGUGUUCAAUGGAAUGAAUACAAUAUUUAUAGUUUAGUUAUUUCCCCCCUCUUUGCUGCCUCUGCUUUUUGAAGUCAAUUCCAGCCCAGCUCACACCUUAAUUCUCUUGCCCAAUUCCUUAAUGUAGCCAAACAAGCCAAGCCUUGAUGACCCUUUCUGGGGAGUUUUUGAAAAAGUGAAAAGGAAUGCAAUGGAAUGGUUGAAGUACUAAGGAUAAGAGGAACUUGAUAAUGACCAUGUUACAUUCUAAUUUCAUUUAAAAUGGUUGAUUAUAAUAGCCUGCUGAGUGCUGACUCCUUAAUCUAUUGACAGCUCAAGCUUAUCCCCUAAUUCAGCCACCUCCUAUUUGCUUAGCUCAAUGACUCAUACUCACUAUUUAGCAUUUCCCUGUAUUUAUCUAAAUCCGGAUAAUCAAUCCCAA
RNAcentral lists this long non-coding RNA (3579 nucleotides) under Panax ginseng (ginseng). RNAcentral describes it as "long non-coding RNA (PGIN_LNC004777)". The record is from RNAcentral. Lineage: Eukaryota; Viridiplantae; Streptophyta; Magnoliopsida; Apiales; Araliaceae.